CCUACGGGUGGCAGCAGUGGGGAAUAUUGGGCAAUGGGCGCAAGCCUGACCCAGCAACGCCGCGUGAAGGAAGAAGGCUCUCGGGUUGUAAACUUCUUUUAUCAGGGACGAAGCAAGUGACGGUACUUGAUGAAUAAGCCACGGCUAACUACGUGCCAGCAGCCGCGGUAAUACGUAGGCGGCAAGCGUUAUCCGGAUUUACUGGGUGUAAAGGGCGUGUAGGCGGGAAAGGAAGUCAGAUGUGAAAACCAUGGGCUCAACCUGUGGCCUGCAUUUGAAACUGUUUGUCUUGAGUACGGGAGAGGCAGGCGGAAUGCCUGGGGUAGCGGUGAAAUGCGUAGAGAUUGGGAGGAACACCAGUGGCGAAGGCAGUCUGCUGGACAGCAACUGACGCUGAGGCGCGAAAGCGUGGGGAGCGAACAGGAUUAGAUACCCUUGUAGUC
RNAcentral lists this ribosomal RNA (443 nucleotides) under uncultured bacterium. Its description in RNAcentral is "partial 16S ribosomal RNA". It matches the Rfam family "Bacterial small subunit ribosomal RNA", at positions 338 to 795 of the family's 1533-position model. The record is from RNAcentral.